GUCCUGCCCACCAGGCAAUCUAUCCCGUACUCCACUCGCUGUUGGGCCUCAGCCCGCCACGCAUCCCACCCGCACGGCCUCGCCCUAGGGUUUCUCCGUCUCUCUCUCUCUCUCUCCCCCGUUUCUCUCCUCCCAAUCGAAUCGGAAUCCAUGGAGUCGUCGCGGUCGCGGAAGCGCACGCGUCAAGAGUUGGACAGCGCCGGCGACCCGCCGCCGGAGCGGGAGGUGGUAGCAAGGGGUGGCGCGUCGCCGCCUUGGCGGGAUGACGACCGCGACGGCCAUUACGUGUUUGAUCUCGGCGAGAACUUGACCCGUCGGUACAAAAUCUUGAGCAAAAUGGGUGAAGGUACUUUUGGCCGAGUUUUGGAAUGCUGGGACCGUGAAACACGUGAAUAUGUUGCAAUAAAAGUUGUCCGAAGCAUCCGGAAGUACCGGGAUGCUGCAAUGAUUGAGAUCGAUGUGCUCAAUCGCCUUGCAGAAAAUGAGAGAUACAGAUCCCUCUGUGUCCAAAUUCAAAGAUGGUUUGACUAUCGCAACCAUAUUUGCAUUAUAUGCACGAAUUACGCCUUAUUCACACUGAUCUGAAGCCAGAAAACAUACUCCUCGUAUCUUCCGAAUAUAUAAAGGUUCCAAGUUCCAAGAAGAAUUCACAAGAUGAGAUACACUUCAAGUGCUUGCCAAAGUCCAGUGCCAUAAAGCUGAUAGAUUUUGGUAGUACUGCCUUUGAUAAUCAGGAACAUACCUCGAUUGUUUCUACGAGGCAUUACAGGGCACCUGAAAUAAUCUUAGGCUUAGGCUGGAGUUUGCCAUGUGAUAUUUGGAGUGUUGGUUGCAUCCUCGUUGAGCUAUGCUCGGGGGAGGCAUUGUUUCAGACACAUGAGAACCUGGAACACCUAGCAAUGAUGGAGAGGGUUUUGGGACCCGUACCAGAGCACAUGAUACGGAAGGCUAGUUCAUCAGCUCAGAAAUAUUUUAGGCGAGGGACACGUCUAAAUUGGCCUGAAGGUGCUGUUACAAGAGAAAGCAUCAGAGCAGUCAGAAAACUACACCGGCUAAAGGACUUGGUUGCGAGAAAUGCUGACCAUUCAAAGGCAUCACUGGCGGACUUGCUAUAUGGUCUUUUAAGGUUUGAGCCUUCAGAGCGCCUUACUGCCCAAGAGGCUCUAGACCAUCCAUUCUUCCGAAUUCCAGGUCCAACAUGACAAUUGGAAGAUGCUUUGAUUCCGCCGCUCGCCAAGAACAAGGCCUGGAGAAGCAGCGGGCACAAAGCCGAGAGCAGAAUGCCUUUGGCUAAUCUCUAGCAUAAAGAUGAUGUAAGCCGAGCUAUGGCGCUUGCGGUGGUGGUGAUAAGCUGUUGUUCCAGUCGUUCAGGUGUAAUGUACAAUAGCAUUUUUCCUAGGGAGGUUAGUGUACUGGAUGCGACCUGUACAUUGUGAAGUUGCGGUGCACCACUGGUUGCCGUCUGAAUCCUGGUUUUGUAAUCGCACUACAAUGAUCACUGACCAAGGCAAGGCAGCCGUAAAGGAGGUGCUAGUAUUUUGCCUGCCUGUGCCAUGUUCCGUUUCUCGAGAAGUCUUGACAGGGCUGAGAGUCCCUGCAAAUUCAGACCAUGCUGUUGAAAGUUGAAAUUAAAUCAAGUUGUAGUGUGUUUUGAACUUAUCCAAAAACUGAAUUGUCGGAGACUUUGGAAAGCACUGUUCCGGGAAUACUUUUAAUAAGACAGAAAAAGC
This 1730-nucleotide ribosomal RNA is filed under the name Triticum aestivum (bread wheat). Its description in RNAcentral is "partial small subunit ribosomal RNA". Lineage: Eukaryota; Viridiplantae; Streptophyta; Magnoliopsida; Poales; Poaceae. The record is from RNAcentral.